AUGCUCCGGGGAGAUGGGCGUCAUCACAGCCUGUGGGAUUGCAGCCAUCAGGCAACCUUGCUGCCCUGGCCUGGGAUCUGGGACCCACCAAGGCUCUGCAUUUGUGUCUCUACAGGUGGCACAUCCACGGUGCAAAGCUUCAGAGAGAUCCCGGGCGCUGAAACACCAGGAGCACCCAGCCCAGCGCGCAGCUUUCUGCUCUGCGGGCCGAGUCCUCUCCGGCUCCCGAGCGCCUGCUCCCAGGAGAGGGCAGUGGAGCCGCACACGCUCCCGUGCUGCGGCCGGCGGCAGGGCCGGCUCCCUCGGGUGCUGGGCGAGGAGAGGAACGGGGCAGCAGAGGUAUGCUCCUGUCUAGCCUGGGUUCUGCACUGACUGGAGGAGCAGCGAAACAAAAACUGAGCAAGUGAGAGAGCCUUUCUCAGCGGGUGUAAGGUAUUGCACGGGUGGAGAGGAGCCUGCGAGACGCGAACCUAACAGCAUUUGGGACCCAACACAGAGGUAAGUCCACGUGGCACGUGACUUGAUGUCCUAAAACCUGUGAAUGUUGGUAUCUAGAGUUAAAACUGAAAGAUGAGGAUGUUGUAGCCUUCCUGUAUAUGCUGGUUUGUUGCUUUGGAGCAGGAGUGUGCUGUUGUAGCAUCUCUCAGGUGUUGCCGUGUCUUGCUGCUGCUUGGGUUGUCGAUUUUUUUUUCCCCCCUGUAUGCCACCUGUAUGCCACUGAGUAGGGGCCUUGCACGCUACAGAUCGUGUGAGAGUUGCUUUCCUAAAAGCAGGAAUAAACAGUCAUGAGAUGAAAUAUUCCAAAGUAAUGAGAUGAGUGACACAAACAUAACAUGGGCUCCAGCUUUCAACCAUAAUUACAUGUGACACCCCCAUCAGCAGGAAGAUGUAGGGGCUGCAAGCUCCGAGCUCGGGAACAGUGCAGGGAAGAUUGGCUUCUCCUGGGAAGGGAGGCACAGGGGAGGUUAUUUUUAGCGCUUGGAAAAAAAAAGCUCGAAUUUAAGCACUCUUCGCUUCGAUCCCCUUAUUCUGGGAGAGAUCAGCGGGGGGGGGGGGGGGGGGGGGGGGGAAGAGGUGGCAUGUGAAGAAAAGCAAAACGGGCCUGUGAAGGCGGCGGGAUGGGGCAGCGGAGGCCGCGCUCGGCAGCCCGGGGCCGGGGGAGACACGGGCCCCCCGCCGCGCCCCCCGGCCCGCCCCGGCCCCGGGCUGCCGAGCGCCCGGUGGCAGCCGGCAGAGCUCCCCCGUCUCGGCUCCGUUGUCGCGGCGGUAUUUAUAGCGCAGGCACUUCCAGCCGUGCCGAGGCAGCCGCCCCUCGGUCUCGGCGUGUGCCUGUCUCUGCCACGAGCGCGCCGCGGUCGCGGGCUGCCGAGAAAGUGAGCGGGGUCCGGCGGGGCGGCCCCGGGCCCUCCCUCCGCGGCUUUCCGAGCCCCGGGCGCACCGGAACGAGGCCUUUUUAGGGCAGGCGGGGCGGGGCCGGAUCCUCGCCUUUUUAGGCCAAGGGCCCCGCCACCGGAAUCCCCCCCCUGGGCGGCGGCGGGCGGCGGGGCGCUGGCGGCGGCCCCCGGGGGGCCGAGCGGGGCCGGGGCCGGGGCCGCCCCCGCGGGGCGCGCGCGGGGCGC
This 1619-nucleotide long non-coding RNA is filed under the name Anas platyrhynchos (mallard). RNAcentral describes it as "lncRNA (ENSAPLG00020001202.1)". Lineage: Eukaryota; Metazoa; Chordata; Aves; Anseriformes; Anatidae. The record is from RNAcentral.